RNAcentral lists this ribosomal RNA (600 nucleotides) under uncultured archaeon. RNAcentral's name for it is "bacterial SSU rRNA". It matches the Rfam family "Archaeal small subunit ribosomal RNA", at positions 81 to 684 of the family's 1478-position model. The record is from RNAcentral.
GCGGACGGCUCAGUAACACGUGGCUAACCUACCCUCGGGUGGGGGAUAACCUCGGGAAACUGAGGAUAAUACCCCAUAGGAGAAGAGGUCUGGAAUGAUCCUUCUCUGAAAACAUAUGUGCCCGAGGAUGGGGCUGCGUCUGAUUAGGUAGUUGGUGGGGUAACGGCCCACCAAGCCUACGAUCAGUACGGGCCUUGAGAGAGGCAGCCCGGAGAUGGGGACUGAGACACGGCCCCAGGCCCUACGGGGCGCAGCAGGCGCGAAACCUCCGCAAUGCACGAAAGUGCGACGGGGGGACCCCAAGUGCUUACGCACUGCGUAGGCUUUUCUAAAGUGUAAAAAGCUUUAGGAAUAAGGGCUGGGCAAGUCCGGUGCCAGCAGCCGCGGUAACACCGGCGGCCCGAGUGGUGACCACUUUUAUUGGGCCUAAAGCGUCCGUAGCCGGUCCAGUAAGUCCCUGUUUAAAUCCUACGGCUUAACCGUAGGGCUGGCAGGGAUACUGCUGGACUUGGGACCGGGAGAGGGCGAGGGUACUUCAGGGGUAGCGGUGAAAUGUGUUGAUCCCUGGAGGACCACCUAUGGCGAAGGCACUCGCCUGGA